AUGGCAAUUGUCCAUACAUACGGGAAGCCUGACAUCUUAUUGACCAUGACUUGCAAUCCUAAAUGGGAAGAGAUAACGAAUGAGUUGCUGCCUGGUCAGACGGCGCAAGACCGACCUGAUAUUGUGGCUCGCGUGUUCUACGGCAAGCUAGAGGCUAUGAAGGACAUGUUGUUCAAGAAGCAUAUCCUGGGUGUUGUUGUCGCAUAUGUAUACGUAGUCGAGUUCCAAAAAAGGGGCCUC
This 240-nucleotide ribosomal RNA is filed under the name Triticum aestivum (bread wheat). RNAcentral's name for it is "partial small subunit ribosomal RNA". Lineage: Eukaryota; Viridiplantae; Streptophyta; Magnoliopsida; Poales; Poaceae. The record is from RNAcentral.